RNAcentral lists this long non-coding RNA (184 nucleotides) under Calidris pugnax (ruff). RNAcentral's name for it is "lncRNA (ENSCPUG00000011820.1)". The record is from RNAcentral. Lineage: Eukaryota; Metazoa; Chordata; Aves; Charadriiformes; Scolopacidae.
AUUUGAAUCACUGAGCUCUCUGAAAGGCUGAACCCUCUUGAAGCCUUCCUUCUGGGAAAGAAGAAACACUGACGUCUCCCGCAGAAAUCCCGUAAGUGCAGCCAAAACCCAGCAUUGCCUCCAUGAAGUACUUCGUACCUGACCACAGUUAAAAACCAGUCUGACUUCAAAGCAGAGAUAAAGG